Cyanistes caeruleus (blue tit) is the source of this 1925-nucleotide non-coding RNA. NCBI's taxonomy places the organism in Eukaryota, Metazoa, Chordata, Aves, Passeriformes, Paridae. The record is from RefSeq and is a predicted model, not a curated record.
UUUCUGGUUACUUCCACUUGGGGCUUCUGAGCCCAGGAGACUCCUGAGGGUUUUGUCUUUUACAGUGCAGCUGAUCAACACUGCGAGGACCUGAAAACUACCUACAAAGAAUCUGAAACCUCGACACCUGAAAAUAGGAGUCUUCUGAGAAAUGGGAACCCAAAACUGAAGGCUACCUAAACCAAGAGUCCCUUUUCCACAGCUCAGAAUCUCUUCAGCUACUUCAGACCUUUUGCCCUGGCAAGUCCAUUAGGAAGAAACACCAAGCAUAUGUGAGAGUCUCUUGCAGGGUCACCAUAACUGGAAACUGAUUUCAUUAAUGAAAACAGUGAAACCUCAUCAUGGGAGGGUCCAGACUCCCCCUGAGCAGUUUGGACACGAGGGAAUGUCUAGAAUCUCCUUCUUGGUUUCACAGUAUCCUCCUGAAUUUGUGUUGUAAAAAUGCUGCUCUCCAUAUCUCAACAUUGAACUGCUCUGGAAUCCAGGACCUGAAGCUCACCAAGUACCCAGAUGAGAGAGGGAGGGCAGGGAAACAGAUGGAAUUUUGUCAAUAACCAUACAGAUUCAGAUUAAAAAAAUCCCUUUUUGUGUUUGUUGGAACUACUGGAAGGGUAUAGUUUUCUAAUGAAAAUGUUUUGGUUGAUUAAACAGAGAAUAACUGGAAUAUUUUUGGACCAUCUAAUUAAGCAGAAGGGGAGCCCACCAAAUGUUGAGGAAUCAAUCUGAUAAUGGGAAGAAUUUGCAUUAAAAGGUGCCUGAGUGCCAUAGUGGCAGUGAAACUGCAUAUGAAAUUCAUGGCAAUUUAACAGGAUUUUACAACAUCUGAAACGACAAUGUCAGAAAUUACACAAAACUGCAUCGUGCAGGAUGUUGCCACCGCAGGAAAAGAUGACUGAGGCAAGCUCAGGCUGUCUGAACAUCUACAAGAGCACUGUCAUGUCUCAUUCAUUCCCUGAUCACAGCUGCAGGACCAAUGAUUUUUCCUGGCAUUGUGCUUUAUAUCUUGAGAGGAGGCUUAUUUGAAUGAAAAUACUAAUACAAGCAAAUUAGUUUUGGGCAUGCUGAACUGAGAUAGAACCAUUUGGCUUUCUGAUUUAUUUUCUGUUCAGUAAUUCAGGAGGUAUAUAUGCAUUCUAUCUGAGUAAUUUUUCUUCUGAUGGGGCUCAGAACUGUGCAUUUAGAGUGGGUAGGGGAUUUAGAGCCUCCUGUAGCCCUGAAGCUCAGUUUCCCACACCAGGAUGCUGAUAUACUGAAACCAGACACAAUGAGGUUCCUGUGCUCUCUCCUUUCCUCUGCAGAGUCUCUGGUGUGGGCCAGAAAGCCAAGACUCACCUUUCUGACCAUGCAGCCUGACCUCAAGCAUCCCAUAAAGCUCUUGCUUUCCCACAAUAACACAUCCUUUCUCUCCCAUGAGUUGUAUUUGUUGCGUUGUCACUUUAUUCUGUAACACAUUUCCUCUCUGUCCUUUAUUAGCUGUGGUUGUUGUGGCCUUUCAUGGGCGACAGGAAAAAGAACAUAAUAGACACCAAGAGAGAUGUCAUGGAGCUUCCAGACAUUCAUUCUCAGCAUGCUUUUGAGCAAGAACUGGGGAAAGGGCCAUGUUGUGCAUAGGAAAUGCAUAUGGCAGGGCAGUACUAUAGCUGCCACAUGCAUUUACCCAGGGAACACUCAUCAUCAAGAGGAUCUCACUGCAUGCAAGCUAUAGGGAUACACAUCUUGGAGGUGAAAGGAAAACUGCUGUUAGGGUUAUUGUGUUGGUUUCCUUAACAAGAAAAGAGCUAGCAAGUGUACAGUGUUGAAGGGGACACAGGAAGUCCAGUAAAUGUGGAAUAAUAAGUGUCUUGAAGUAUUACAUCAAGUCAACCCGCUGGACAAGUUUUAUAAAUGUUAUAUCUUAUUCCUUGAGUUUACUGCUUCUGAAAAUA